This is an RNA transcript of Lemur catta (Ring-tailed lemur), 2267 nucleotides long. It is a transcript of the gene named heat shock protein HSP 90-alpha-like, with no coding region annotated. The transcript is spliced from 3 exons. Lineage: Eukaryota; Metazoa; Chordata; Mammalia; Primates; Lemuridae. The record is from RefSeq and is a predicted model, not a curated record.
AUGUGGGGACCAGCUGUGGAAGACACACCAACAAAGUUGGAAGUGUCCGGGGGUCUGUUACAAGUUGGAAGGCUUUUACAGGAAACCCAGACCCAAGACCAACCCCAACCAGUGGCGGAGGAAGAGGUUAAGACAUUUGUCUUUCAGGCAGAAAUUGCCCUGCUGAUGUCAUUGAUCAUCAAUACUUUCUACUGAAACAAAGAGAUUUUUCUGAGAGAGCUCAUUUCAAACUCAUUGGAUGCUUUGGACAAAAUCAGAUACAAACGAAAGCUUGACAGAUCCCAGUAAACUAGACUCUGGGAAAGAGUCACACAUUAAUCUCAUACCAAACAAACAAGAUCGAACCCUCACUAUUGUGGAUACUGGAAUUGGAAUGACCAAGGCCGACUUGAUCAAUAACCUUGGUACUAUCGCCAAGUCUGGGACCAAGGCAUUCAUGGAAGCUCUGCAGGCUGGUGCAGACAUAUCUAUGAUUGGUCAGUUUAGCGUUGGUUUUUAUUCUGCAUAUUUGGUUGCUGAAAAAGUAACUGUGAUCACCAAACAUAACGAUGACUCCCAGUAUGCCUCGGAGUCCUCAGCAGGGGGAUCUGUUACAGUUAGAACUGACACAGGUGAACCUAUGGGUCAUGGAACAAAGGUUAUCCUCCAUCUGAAAGAAGACCAAACUGAGUGCUUGGAGGAAAGAAGAAUAAAGGAGAUUGUGAAGAAACAUUCUCAGUUUAUUGGCUAUCCCAUUACUCUGUGUGUGGAGAAGGGACGUGACAAAGAAGUCAGCGAUGAUGAGGCUGAAGAAAAGGAAGACAAGGAGGAGGAGAAAGAAAAAGAAGAAAAGGAAUCUGGAAUCUGAUGACAAUCCUGAAAUAGAAGAUGUUGGUUCUGAUGAAGAAAAAGAAGAAAAGAAGGAUGAAGAAGAAGAAGAAGAAGAAGAAAAGGAAAAGUACAUUGAUCAAGAAGAGCUCAACAAAACAAAGCCUAUGUGGACCAGAAAUCCUGAUGAUAUUACUAAUGAAGAAUACGGAAAAUUCUAUAAGAGCUUGACCAAUGACUGGGAAGAUCAUUUGGUGGUGAAGCACUUUUUGGUUGAAGGACAGUUGGAAUUCAGAGCUCUUCUUUUUGUCCCAAGACUUGCUCCUUUCAACCUAUUUGAAAACAGAAAGGAAAAGAACAACAUUAAGUUCUAUGUGCACAGAGUUUUCAUUGUGGAUAACUGUGAGGAGCUGAUCCCUGAAUACUUGAAUUUCCUUAGAGGAGUGGUGGACUCUGAGGAUCUCCCUCUAAAUAUUUCCUGUGAGAUGGUGCAGCAAAGCAAAAUUUUGAAAGUUAUCAGAAAGAAUUUGGUCAAAAAGUGCUUAGAGCUCUUCACCAAAUUGGCAGAAGAUAAAGAGAACUACAAAAAGCUUUAUGAGCACUUCUUUAAAAACAUAAAGCUUGGAAUACAUGAAAACUCUCAAAACCAAAAGAAGCUUUCAGAGCUGUUACGAUACUAUACAUCUGCUUCUGCAAAGACUAUUGCACCAGAAGGAAGGAAAAUCAGAAACAUAUCUACUAUAUCACAGGUGAGACUAAGGACCAGGUAGCUAACUCAGCCUUCGUGGACCGUCUUCGGAAGCAUGGCUUAGAAGUGAUCUAUAUGAUCGAGCCAAUCGAUGAGUACGGCGUCCAACAGCAAAAGGAAUUUGAGGGGAAAACUUUAGUGUCAGCCACCAAAGAAGGCUUAGAACUUCCAGGAGAUGAAGAAGAGAAAAAGAAACAGGAAGAGAAAAAAACAAAGUUUGAAAACCUCUGCAAAAUCAUGAAAGACAUCUUGGAGAAAAAAGUUGAAAACCUGGUUCUGUCAAACUGGAUUGGUGACAUCCCCAUGCUGCAUUGUCACAAGCACAUAUAGCUGGACAGCAAACAUGGAAAGAAUUAUGAGAGCUCAAGCCCUAAGAGACACCUCCACUAUGGGUUACAUGGCAGCGAAGAAACACCUGGAGAUAAACCCUGACCAUUCCAUUAUUGAGACCCUAAGGCAAAAGGCAGAGGCUGACAAGAACGACAAGUCUGAAGGAUCUGGCCAUCUUGCUUUACGUUACUGCACUCCUGCCUUCUGGCUUCAGUCUGGAAGAUCCCAGACCCCUGCUAACAGGAUCUACAGGAUGGUCAAACUUGGUCUGGGAAUUGAUGAAGAUGACCCUACUACCAAUGAUACUGACGCUGCUGUAAUUGAAGAGAUGCCACCUCUUGAAGGAGAUGACGACACAUCACUCAUGGAGGAAGUAGACUAA